This 486-nucleotide ribosomal RNA is filed under the name uncultured bacterium. RNAcentral describes it as "partial 16S ribosomal RNA". It matches the Rfam family "Bacterial small subunit ribosomal RNA", at positions 30 to 507 of the family's 1533-position model. The record is from RNAcentral.
AUUGAACGCUGGCGGCAUGCCUUACACAUGCAAGUCGAACGGCAGCACGGGUGCUUGCACCUGGUGGCGAGUGGCGAACGGGUGAGUAAUACAUCGGAACAUGUCCUGUAGUGGGGGAUAGCCCGGCGAAAGCCGGAUUAAUACCGCAUACGAUCCCCGGAUGAAAGCGGGGGACCUUCGGGCCUCGCGCUUUCGGGUUGGCCGAUGGCUGAUUAGCUAGUUGGUGGGGUAAAGGCCUACCAAGGCGACGAUCAGUAGCUGGUCUGAGAGGACGACCAGCCACACUGGGACUGAGACACGGCCCAGACUCCUACGGGAGGCAGCAGUGGGGAAUUUUGGACAAUGGGCGAAAGCCUGAUCCAGCAAUGCCGCGUGUGUGAAGAAGGCCUUCGGGUUGUAAAGCACUUUUGUCCGGAAAGAAAUCCUUGGCUCUAAUACAGUCGGGGGAUGACGGUACCGGAAGAAUAAGCACCGGCUAACUACGUG